GUAACUGCGAGUGAAGCGGGGAAGAGCUCAAAUUUAAAAUCUGGCGGUCUUUGGCCGUCCGAGUUGUAGUCUGGAGAAGUGCUUUCCGCGCCGGACCGUGUACAAGUCUCUUGGAAUAGAGCGUCAUAGAGGGUGAGAAUCCCGUCUUUGACACGGACUGCCGGUGCUUUGUGAUGCGCUCUCGAAGAGUCGAGUUGUUUGGGAAUGCAGCUCAAAAUGGGUGGUAAAUUCCAUCUAAAGCUAAAUAUUGGCGAGAGACCGAUAGCGAACAAGUACCGUGAGGGAAAGAUGAAAAGCACUUUGGAAAGAGAGUUAAACAGUACGUGAAAUUGCUGAAAGGGAAACGCUUGAAGUCAGUCGCGUCUUACGGAACUCAGCCUUGCUUUCGCUUGGUGCACUUUCUGUAGGACGGGCCAGCAUCGAUUUUGACCGUCGGAAAAGGGUCGAAGGAAUGUGGCACCUCCGGGUGUGUUAUAGCCUUUGGCCGCAUACGGCGGUUGGGAUCGAGGAACGCAGCGUGCCGCAAGGUGGGGCUUCGGCCUACAUUCACGCUUAGGAUGCUGGCGUAAUGGCUUUAAACGACCCGUCUUGAAACACGGACCAAGGAGUCUAACAUGCCUGCGAGUGUUUGGGUGGAAAACCCGAGCGCGUAAUGAAAGUGAAAGUUGAGACCUCUGUCGUGGAGGGCAUCGACGCCCGGACCUGACGUUCUCUGACGGAUCCGCGGUAGAGCAUGUAUGUUGGGACCCGAAAGAUGGUGAACUAUGCCUGAAUAGGGUGAAGCCAGAGGAAACUCUGGUGGAGGCUCGUAGCGAUUCUGACGUGCAAAUCGAUCGUCAA
Molecule: ribosomal RNA, 840 nt
Filed under: Favolus sp.
Lineage: Eukaryota; Fungi; Basidiomycota; Agaricomycetes; Polyporales; Polyporaceae
Description: partial large subunit ribosomal RNA
Rfam family: Eukaryotic large subunit ribosomal RNA
Source: RNAcentral